AGAGUUUGAUCCUGGCUCAGAACGAACGCUGGCGGCGUGCCUAACACAUGCAAGUCGAACGGGGAUAAGUAGCUUGCUAUUUAUUCUAGUGGCGCACGGGUGAGUAACGCGUAGAUAAUCUGCCUUAGACUCUGGGAUAACAUCUCGAAAGGGGUGCUAAUACCGGAUAAGCCCACGGGGACGUGAGUUCUUGCGGGAAAAGGGGGCCUCUGCAUAUGCUCUUGAUCUAAGAUGAGUCUGCGUACCAUUAGCUUGUUGGUAGGGUAAUGGCCUACCAAGGCGACGAUGGUUAGCUGGUCUGAGAGGAUGAUCAGCCACACUGGGACUGAGACACGGCCCAGACUCCUACGGGAGGCAGCAGUGGGGAAUUUUGCGCAAUGGGGGAAACCCUGACGCAGCAACGCCGCGUGAGUGAUGAGGGCUUUCGGGUCGUAAAGCUCUGUCUAGAGGGAAGAAGUGAUAUUCGGUUAAUACCCGGGUUUCUUGACGGUACCUCUGAAGGAAGCACCGGCUAACUCCGUGCCAGCAGCCGCGGUAAUA
This 540-nucleotide ribosomal RNA is filed under the name uncultured bacterium. Its description in RNAcentral is "bacterial SSU rRNA". It matches the Rfam family "Bacterial small subunit ribosomal RNA", at positions 8 to 525 of the family's 1533-position model. The record is from RNAcentral.